RNAcentral lists this ribosomal RNA (241 nucleotides) under uncultured Actinomycetales bacterium. RNAcentral describes it as "partial 16S ribosomal RNA". It matches the Rfam family "Bacterial small subunit ribosomal RNA", at positions 89 to 334 of the family's 1533-position model. The record is from RNAcentral. Lineage: Bacteria; Bacillati; Actinomycetota; Actinomycetes; Actinomycetales.
ACUCGAGUGGCGAACGGGUGAGUAACACGUGGGUGAUCUGCCCUGCACUUCGGGAUAAGCUUGGGAAACUGGGUCUAAUACCGGAUAGGAGCCAUCUUUAGUGUGGUGGUUGGAAAGUUUUUCGGUGUAGGAUGAGCUCGCGGCCCAUCAGCUUGUUGGUGGGGUAAUGGCCUACCAAGGCGGCGACGGGUAGCCGGCCUGAGAGGGUGUACGGCCACAUUGGGACUGAGAUACGGCCCAG